AACCAUUUCCGUUAAUGGUUGGUU
RNAcentral lists this small RNA (24 nucleotides) under Sinorhizobium meliloti 2011. RNAcentral describes it as "putative ncRNA". The record is from RNAcentral. Lineage: Bacteria; Pseudomonadati; Pseudomonadota; Alphaproteobacteria; Hyphomicrobiales; Rhizobiaceae.